AGCGAACGCUGGCGGCAGGCCUAACACAUGCAAGUCGAACGGAUCCUUCGGGAUUAGUGGCGGACGGGUGAGUAACACGUGGGAACGUGCCCUUUGGUUCGGAACAACUCAGGGAAGCUUGAGCUAAUACCGGAUGUGCCCUUCGGGGGAAAGAUUUAUCGCCAUUGGAGCGGCCCGCGUCUGAUUAGCUAGUUGGUGAGGUAACGGCCCACCAAGGCGACGAUCAGUAGCUGGUCUGAGAGGAUGAUCAGCCACACUGGGACUGAGACACGGCCCAGACUCCUACGGGAGGCAGCAGUGGGGAAUCUUGCGCAAUGGGCGAAAGCCUGACGCAGCCAUGCCGCGUGAAUGAUGAAGGUCUUAGGAUUGUAAAAUUCUUUCAGCGGGGACGAUAAUGACGGUACCCGCAGAAGAAGCUCCGGCUAACUUCGUG
This 433-nucleotide ribosomal RNA is filed under the name uncultured bacterium. RNAcentral describes it as "partial 16S ribosomal RNA". It matches the Rfam family "Bacterial small subunit ribosomal RNA", at positions 29 to 507 of the family's 1533-position model. The record is from RNAcentral.